AUAGCGCCGAGGUCCCGGGCAAGAAAGGGUUGAAUGGCGCGAUAUACGUAUUCCCCUUGUGCCGACACUGCUGCCGCUGCAGUCCAUCUCGAAUUUGCGAGCUGCGACCUGCGCUAACUUGACAGCGCUGAGGUCGCGGACAACAAACGGUUGAAUGGCGCUAUUUGUCUCCCGCUUGUGCUACACUGCUAUCUGUUGCUAUGGAAAGCUGCGCCCGGCCGCUGGUGCUGCGACCUGCGCUGACUUGACAAAAAUAGCGCGGAGGUCGCAGAAAAGAAGCGGUUGAGUGGCGCGAUAUAACUCCCGCUUGUGCCACAUUGCUGCCGCGGGGCGCUGCUCCAUCUCUAAUCUGAGAGCUGUCCCCGGCCGUUGAUGCUGCGACCGCACUAAUUUGACAGCGCCGAGGUCGCGGACAAGAGACGUUUGAAUGGCGCGAUUUGUCUCCCGCUUGCCUACACUGCUGCCGCUGGGAGCCGGUCCAUCUCUAAGUCAGUGAGCUG
Molecule: long non-coding RNA, 500 nt
Organism: Ostrinia furnacalis (Asian corn borer)
Lineage: Eukaryota; Metazoa; Arthropoda; Insecta; Lepidoptera; Crambidae
Exons: 4
Source: RefSeq, a predicted model, not a curated record